Long non-coding RNA from Zea mays, 784 nucleotides. RefSeq lists it as uncharacterized. Lineage: Eukaryota; Viridiplantae; Streptophyta; Magnoliopsida; Poales; Poaceae. The transcript has 2 exons. The record is from RefSeq and is a predicted model, not a curated record.
GAUCAUUGGUAUCGUAGUAGCGCGCGGAGACCAUCGACAUCAAUUAUAUUCAAAUUGUACGUUGCUACUUAAUUGCCGGCCAUGGACAAGAAAUCGAGUUGCUAGGAACCUGCCUGGGAUGGACUGUAUUCUAAUCUUAUCCCUUGAUACUAAAUCUUAUCUCAUAGUAAGUGCUAGCAUCAUAUAAAAGGCGAGCUGGCAAGGAAGGAGAAGACAACCUCUCUGUAAGAAUCAAUACCUACCCCAUGGAGAAGCUCUCUUCUCGUCGCUAUUCCCGGCCGGCGAUGUCCCUGCUGAUCAUCGUGGCCAUCACUAUCUCCUGCUCCGUCGUCCACAGUUCGGAGGCUCCAGCCCAAGAAGCAGCAGUACCUCGUCUGGACGGAGACCAUCAGGGCCAAGCGCCGCCGCCACCGGAUGCCGGCAAACCUCGACAGCCACAGCCGCCGUGCUGUCUUCGGCACGGCGCUUAACGUCCUAAAAUGGACAGGGAGGACGGAGGAUACUUAAGAUCAACCAGGCCGCGACGACAAUAAGUUUUUAAAUUUUAUUAGGACUAGUUUAGGAACCCUAUUUUUUUAAUGGAUUUUUAUUUUAUCAAAAAAAAUUGGGUUCCCAAACUAGUUCUUAACAAUACAAACAUAAGAGAAUCCGUACACCAUUCGUGUCAAAUUAUAAGUAAUAUAGGUCGGGGUGCAUAACUGAGAUAAUUUGGUUCAUUUAUCAUUUGUGGUCCUACGAGUUCAACCGUGUGUUUGGUUUUUCAAGGUAACACCACUGCCACUCA